GCUGUUGCGCAGCCACUGGUACCUGUAUUGGGGAAACAUAGCCUGCAUGCAAGACGAUUCCAGCCUCGGUGGCCAAGACUUUUUCAUGUCAGAGACCGAAAACUCUUGCAGUUGUUUAUGCCAUCCCUUCUUCUCCAGACAGAAGAUACCAAAAAGUUGUAAUCAAAGAUCUCUCCAUCUUAUUGAUAAGGCUACUAAUAAGCCAAAAUGUCUGUCAACGUCGACUGCAGCAUGUCAGACCAGUGCUAUCACUACAAGAUGCCCCGUCUGAUUGCCAAGGUUGAGGGCAAAGGAAAUGGAAUCAAGACAGUUAUAGCCAACAUGGUUGACGUUGCAAAGGCGCUUAAUCGGCCUCCAACGUAUCCCACCAAAUAUUUUGGUUGUGAGCUGGGAGCACAGACCCAGUUUGAUGUUAAGAAUGACCGCUACAUUGUCAAUGGAUCUCAUGAGGCGAACAAGCUGCAAGACAUGUUGGACGGAUUUAUUAAAAAAUUUGUUCUCUGUCCUGAGUGCGAGAAUCCGGAAACAGAUCUGCAUGUCAAUCCAAAGAAACAAACAAUAGGGAAUUCUUGUAAAGCCUGUGGCUACAGAGGCAUGCUUGACACACAUCAUAAACUCUGCACUUUCAUUCUCAAAAACCCACCUGAGAAUAGUGACAGUGGCACAGUCAAGAAAGAAAAGGAAAAGAAAACCAGAAAGUGCAAGGACAAGGAGAACGGCUCUGUGUCCAGCAGUGAGACGCCACCACCUCCACAUGACAUCAGCCCUCCUCCCCAUGCUCUGGAAGAAGAGGAAGAUGGUGACUGGGGAGAGGAUACAACAGAGGGAGCCAGAGAUGCAGAAUGGAUGAAAUCAGUGACCACGCGAAAGUUCUGACCCUUAGUGAUGAUUUGGAGCGGACCAUUGAAGAACGAGUCAACAUUUUGUUUGAUUUUGUUAAGAAAAAGAAAGAAGAGGGAAUUAUUGAUUCAUCUGACAAAGAGAUUGUUGCUGAAGCAGAAAGGCUGGAUGUGAAAGCUAUGGGUCCUCUUGUUUUGACUGAAGUUCUUUUUAAUGAGAAGAUAAGAGAACAAAUCAAGAAAUACAGGUGCCAUUUUUUACGAUUUUGUCACAACAAUGAAAAAGCUCAGCGGUACCUUCUCCAUGGUUUAGAGUGUGUGGUAGCAAUGCACCAGGCGCAGCUCCUCUCCAAGAUCCCGCACAUCCUGAAGGAGAUGUAUGACGCAGACCUUCUGGAAGAGGAGGUCAUCAUCAGCUGGUCGGAGAAGGCCUCCAAGAAGUAUGUCUCAAAAGAACUUGCCAAAGAGAUCCGUGUGAAAGCAGAACCAUUUAUAAAAUGGUUGAAGGAGGCAGAGGAGGAAUCUUUUGGUGGCGAAGAGGAAGAUGAAGAUGAAAAUAUUGAGGUGGUAUAUUUGAAGACUGCCAGUGUACCUAAAGUUGAAACUGUGAAGUCUGACAACAAAGAUGAUGACAUUGAUAUUGAUGCCAUUUAAAGUGGUGGAUGCAACCUUGCUUCACAGUAUAAUGCUGCAAAAUUUCCUGCAUUAUCAGCCAGAAGUGCAACAUGUAUGUGCAAAAGCUGCAAUGGCUUAACAUCAUGCUACACUUAUUCUAAAAAUGCCCUACUGUGAGUGGUCUGGAAGUAGAGGUCUUGAUGCGACAUCUGGAGUCCAUACAUGUUUGUGAGCAGAUGUAGUUUGCUUAUUUAUAGCAUGUUUCUUUCUGAAAACAUAGCGGUGGACACAUUGGAUCACAUUUAUACAGUUACACAAAAAUAAAGAUUUGUUUUGGUCAUU
Molecule: RNA transcript, 1796 nt
Organism: Elephantulus edwardii (Cape elephant shrew)
Lineage: Eukaryota; Metazoa; Chordata; Mammalia; Macroscelidea; Macroscelididae
Gene name: eukaryotic translation initiation factor 5-like
Exons: 1
Source: RefSeq, a predicted model, not a curated record